AAGAAGCCAAAUUUGGGCAAUCUACAAUAGUGAGCUGCUCAAGAGCAAUGAGAUUCAGCAGUCCAGCUGAUAAAGAAGUAAGAUUAGUACAGUUCUCAACGGAUAAGAUUUUAAGGUUGCUUAAACUGCCAACACCAGCAUCCGACAAAGAGAUAAUAUUGUGGCAUUCACUGAUCUCCAAGGACUCCAGAGAUUUAAGGUUAUGCAAUCCUUCUGGCAAAGUUGAUAGCUCCUCACACGAGCAUAUUGUUAAUGACUUGAGAGCUGUAAGCUUUUCUAGUUCUGAAGGCAGACAAUAGAGACUUCCACAUGAGCUAAUCUUCAGAGAGGCUAGAAAACUAUUGUUUUGCAGCAACUUUCCUGGUAGAACGGUCAAUCCAGGGAUAGUGUCAACCACAAGAACAGAAAGCAAGGAUAGAUUUUCCAUGGUGGUAAUCAGCAAUGGAUGACAAUCAUGCAACUCUAAAUGUUGCAAUGAUGGAAACAAUGGUGCUGUACUCAGCUUUGGGCAUUUGCUAACAAUUAGCUUUUCCAGGCACGGAAAUGCUUCUCUGCCAUCACUGUUAGACCAUUCUUUCAACUUCGGAAAGUUUCUGAGAGUUAAUUCUGUCAAAGCUGGGAACGGCCUCUGGACGUCAAUGCUAUAGAAUUCCAUGGAAAUACACUCAACAUUGUCCAUGCCUUGCAAAUAGAGUAAUUUCAGGUAAGGAAGGUGCCCAAGGGUUGGCAAGUUUUCACACCUUUUGCAGUUGAUCAACACAACCACAGCAAGAUUUGGAAGCACCCAUUGAGGAAAUGUGAUUCCUGGAUACCCUCUGAUGAAAAGCCUACCAAGAUUUGGGUGUGGUUCAAGGCAUUUCAAAAUUUCUUCCACAUCUACUGAUUGAGCAUCACCACCAUGAUUUCCAUGCCAUAAUCCCGAUGAUUGAAAAUUCCUUCCAGUACUCAUGCAACGUGAAGGUGUUGCCUUCGCUGAUUGGAUCUUCAUGCCUCCGUCAUUAUCUUCCCACCACAACCGCAACACCUGAAUGUAGUUUUUUGCUAUCAAAUUUGCAGUCUUCGCCUCUUCUGGGUCUCUGACAUUCUCCAAGCAUUUGAUGUUUAACUCACCCCGGAGGUUGAGAGAUCUAAGUUCUGU
This 1138-nucleotide unclassified non-coding RNA is filed under the name Hevea brasiliensis (rubber tree). The record is from RNAcentral. Lineage: Eukaryota; Viridiplantae; Streptophyta; Magnoliopsida; Malpighiales; Euphorbiaceae.